Molecule: ribosomal RNA, 205 nt
Filed under: uncultured bacterium
Lineage: Bacteria
Description: partial 16S ribosomal RNA
Rfam family: Bacterial small subunit ribosomal RNA
Source: RNAcentral
GAGUGCGAAGAGGAAAAGUGGAAUUCCAUGUGUACGGUGAAAUGCGCAGAGAUAUGGAGGAACACCAGUGGCGAAGGCGACUUUCUGGUCUGUAACUGACGCUGAUGUGCGAAACGUGGGGAUCAAACAGGAUUAGAUACCCUGGUAGUCCACGCCGUAAACGAUGAGUGCUAAGUGUUAGGGGGUUUCCGCCCCUUAGUGCUGC